Peromyscus maniculatus bairdii (prairie deer mouse) is the source of this 1033-nucleotide non-coding RNA. The record is from the annotation of a RefSeq genome assembly. NCBI's taxonomy places the organism in Eukaryota, Metazoa, Chordata, Mammalia, Rodentia, Cricetidae.
AUGGUAGAAGGCUUUGCUAAUCAUGGAAAUCAGCAGAGGUGGGAAGGAACUGAGUACAUGCAAAAGUGGUUCAUCUUUUCAACCAGAUCCCACUUGUCCUAUUUCCCACCUCUCCAGCAGAGGGCAAUAGUAACACAGUAUCAAGUCAACUCCAGCCUUAGUGCUGACAGCCAAGUAUCAGAUGGUGAAAUUAUCCUCACUCAGUCUCCAAUAUCCAUGACCACCUCACCAGGGGAGAAGGUCACUAUUACCUGCAGAGCCAGCUCAAGUGCAAGUUCCAAUUACUUCCACUGGUACCAGCAAAAGCCAGGAGCCUCCCCUACACUCCUUGUUCAUGGAACAUCCAACCUGGCUUCUGGAGUCCCAGCUCGCUUCAGUGGCAGUGGGUCUGGGACCUCUUACUCUCUCACAAUCAGCAGCAUGGAGGCUGAAGAUGCUGCCACUUACUACUGUCAGCAGAAGAGCAGUGAACCAUUCACACAGUUCUACAAAGCAGAACAAAAACCACUUUGGUCUUCUCAGACACCACUGCUUCCCUCUUAGAAGAUAACACAUGGUCAAGAUUUUGACUGAGUUGUGACAAAAAUCUCCAAAUAUUUCUGCGAUAGAAGCAGGGUCAAAUUUCACUCAAGGGCAUUAAGACACUUCUCCUGGCAAAAAAGAGGAAACUAUAUAAAUGGAGAUAGUGGGAUGAGAUAACCAGAGACCCAUCUUUUUUGUAUUCUGUACAGAGAACUAUUUUAGAGCUGUGGUUUAAAUUUCCUGGACUGGGAAUUGACUCUGGAGAGGAUGUCAUUGGGCUUUUGAGAAUAUUUGCAGGGCUGUGCGAGUCACAUUUUUAUAACUGUUUCCAAUGUAGGGCUAACCAACUGCUGUCCCCCAGAGAAUUCCUUCAUCAGAGAAUGGUUUAUGGCUUGGUCUCAAGUGGGAAGAACUAACACUGAACUCAUAGUUCUCUAUCAUCUCUUCAUGGUGAAGGAAAUACUGAUGAUAGUAUCUUUCUGACUAUUUGUAGAGUGUGAAGCACUGUGGA